CUUAUUAUAAAAUUAAUAAGUGGGGCCUGGUCAGUGUUAAAUUAUAACAAUUUUUUAAAAACAAGUGAAAAUAUUUAAUAAACACACGCCUUAUCCUGAGGGUGAAAAUGUAGCAUAAUUAUUUGGCAUUUAAAUGAUGUCUAGUAUGAAAGGUGAAACGACUUAUAUACUGUCUCAACUUUAAAAUUAAUGAAAUUAGAUUAAUAGUGAAAAUACUAUUAAAAAAAUAUAAGACGAGAAGUCCCUAUAAACUUUUACUAUAUAAUGAUGAUAAAAUUCUUAUGAAUAUAGUUUGACUGGGGCGGUCGUCUCUUAAAAAAACAGAGAUUAUUUUUUUAAUUAAAAAAUUUUUUUAAUUAUUUUUUACAAUUAAAUAUAUGUAUUUAACUGUAUUAAAAAAUAAAAAUAAUGACCUCUUUUUAAUAUAACAAUUAAAAAACUAUAAAAAAUAAAAAGUACUUUAGGGAUAACAGCGUAAUUCUAUCUGGAGGUCUUAUCUAAGUAUAGUGUUUGCGACCUCGAUGUUGGCUUGAGAUAACCUGAAGGUGUAGAAGUUUUCAAAGGUGGGUCUGUUCGUCCUUAAAAAUCUUACAUGAUUUGAGUUCAUUCCGUA
This 613-nucleotide ribosomal RNA is filed under the name Botrynema brucei. RNAcentral describes it as "partial 16S ribosomal RNA". It matches the Rfam family "Bacterial large subunit ribosomal RNA", at positions 1819 to 2620 of the family's 2925-position model. Lineage: Eukaryota; Metazoa; Cnidaria; Hydrozoa; Trachymedusae; Halicreatidae. The record is from RNAcentral.